CGACUGGCCCCUAGAUGGAAUGACNGUGUCGGCACGUGAGCGGUGAUGGAUNCCCAUGCCNCGGCGGGNUCCCUGCCACUGUGCAGCCAACCGCCGUCGCUGCAGCCCCUUCACUCGUGCUCCAACCACUCGGAGCCUCCCGCGUUGCCUGUACAACAUACCCGGUUCUCGGGCAAAUGACUUCGUCCAACACGCUCGUCCNCUCCCCUCGCCUUUGUGCGGGCGCGGAGCGGCAACGUCGGCGGUCCUCGUGCUCCCUCGGACGACGGNACGGCUUCGGCCCCUCGUCUCGUCCCGAUCGGCCCUCGNGGAUUCGCCAGCGCUCGCGGACACGGUAGACAAUGUUGGCUCGGGGCCUUCGUAGCCCUCGCNCCACGAUCGGUCGGCUCACUUCGCCGCCCUCGAC
RNAcentral lists this unclassified non-coding RNA (406 nucleotides) under Heliconia tarumaensis. Its description in RNAcentral is "partial external transcribed spacer". The record is from RNAcentral. Lineage: Eukaryota; Viridiplantae; Streptophyta; Magnoliopsida; Zingiberales; Heliconiaceae.